This is a long non-coding RNA of Drosophila miranda, 2084 nucleotides long. RefSeq lists it as uncharacterized. The record is from RefSeq and is a predicted model, not a curated record. The transcript has 2 exons. Lineage: Eukaryota; Metazoa; Arthropoda; Insecta; Diptera; Drosophilidae.
UGGUCCUCGUUCCGUCAGCGCGAAUGUACAAUCAACAAAAUUAGUUUCAUUUGAGCAAAUGGCAUGGCUUGGCAGUCAACGUCGACCCACAUAGCAGACUCGGCUUAAAUAGGUGUAGGGGCUGUGAUGGGACGUCUUUGCAGAGGAGGAGGACGACCUGGCAGAAGGAUAAGCAAGCCGGCUACUUUUGAUUGCUGGCUGGCGUUCGCUUUUGAUCUCUCCAAACAGCAGAUAAAUGAUAAGGUGCCCGGGCUGGAAGAAAAAAUGCUGCAAAGUGUAGAAAAUUGCGCCGCAGGUGUGUGAUGGACCCAUCAGUCUCAUCUCCUGUUGGCCCUGCUGCUGGAGCUGCUGCCGACUCUGUGGGUUGUUUUGAAAGUAACUUCAAGGCAACCGCAAAGCAAAUAAUUAAAAAUUUCCCGGCUGUUACCUACUGCAAGUGAAGUGAAAAUGAAAAGCAAAAUCAAGAGAAAAAUUCUGCGGACAUUGGAAGCCUGGUGGAACUGUUGUGGGUGUAACGGAGGCCGCUGACUGUGAGCCGUUGCCAAUUAGCGGAAAAAUAUACAAAAAUUCACAGCGAAAACUAGAUAACCUGCUACGUGCUUGACUCUGUGCUGCUUGGUCUACGAGUACCUCCGUACUCGUCGAGUACAAGGCAUCAACAGAUGAGAAAGCAUACUUAAGUCGCCUAUAUCUACUCAAAUGCAUGCAAACAGAUCAAUAACUGCAUCCAACGAGCGGGAACGCUAACAAGUACUUCGAACCUUUACAUCCGUUUCGAGUUUUCGUUUCGCAUUCGAAUGCGAGCUAAAAAUUGAAUAUUCCGCUCAUCCGAAAGUGCUGAUUGCUGCUAUGGAGAAAGAAUGUGUUGCGCACCUGGAAAACAGGACUUAUCUGAAACUGAACAGCUUGCUCACCGGCACAGAUCCAGAUUCAAACCUGUUUCUGAAGUCCAUUCGCACAUUUAAUUCUUUCUUCCAGCAAGUUUCACAAAUGAAUACGAUUUCAAAACCAGUAUAUCUUAUGCAACCGUAAAGUUAUAUGUAUUAUGAUUCGAUCCGCCUUCGGCCUUUUAUUGCUCUUUGCUUGGAGAGGGCCAGUUCAAACUCAGACUCAGACCUAAUCAACAAAAAUACGAGUUACAACAACAACAGAGUUGGACGGUGAAAUUAAAUCUGACCUUCAAUUGAUGCUCUUUUCAGACACUUAAUUGAAGACUAUAGGUACUAAUAGUACAAAUACUGUGUAUUUGCAAUAAUCUAGUAUAGCAUUUAUGUUUUAUUCGGGAAGUAAAACGAAGAAUAGUAUACUAUGAUUGCUUUAUGGUUCAUUUUCAAUGCUAAUUGCAAAAUAGUUACUGUGACCAAAUUGAAGGUUCGGUUUACAUAAAAAACACUUGCUGCAUCACAAUGAAAUUUUAAAACGGGUUUACAUACUCGUUGGAAUAGGAACAUUCAAUUUCCAUAUUGAUGAUUUACUAACAACAUUUAAAGUUUGGAGAGUGUCUAGCAGUCGGAAUUUAAUCUGUAGCGUUUCUCUGUGUUUUCUAUACGGAGGACUGCCCACUGCAGAACAGAACAGGAGCCUUGACAGCCAACCCCCGGCUGUCCACCCUCCAAGCUGGUUGCGAGAGAGUUGGGGAGGAAGGGGCCACUGUCUGUCAACCUGCAGCCAUAAAUAAUGGCCGGCUGCAGGCUGCUGGCGGCAAUUUAUAAAUCUGUUUAUUGUAACAUCCUGGCGACUCGCGCAUGUAAUUUAUGUAUCUGAAAUCUAGUUAAGCCACUGUCGUCCCUCUGCGAGAAUGGGCUAAUGAGGGUCCGAUUGCAGCGCAACGGAGUUGACGGAGUUUCAAAAAUGUUGCCGUUUCCUUCCCAACAAAAAAUCACUCAAACUCCAUGGUAUUAUCCUUUUUUUUUUUUUAAUUGCAUAGAUAAUUCUAUGAGCAAUUCCAAUUCAAAAGAAAGACUGUACCUCCCAGUGUUUGAAUAUUAAAUGUUAAUUAUUUAAAUCAUAUCUCUAACUUACUUUAUCCAGAAAAAAUAUUAGUUUGUUAUGACAGCAAAUAAAAACUCUUACGAAGAACUUAA